GUGGAUCCGGGCGGUGAGGGCUGAACAGCCCUGGGGUGUGGGGAGACAAAGGGAUCCAAGUCGUGUCUUUCCUGCUUUGGGAAUCGGUGUCCCGGCUGUCUGUGGAACAUCAGAGAAGGUAUGGACUCUGAGCCACAGAAACAGGAUCCAGUAGAGAAGAACCAAGUGUGAUGUUGAAUCUGCUAGAGAGGUUCCUGGAGCAAGAGUGAAGAGAUCAGGCCCCAUCCCUGGGACAUUUCAGUUUGAUAUGAGUGAAGCAGUUUCUUAUUGAGCCCCAGGAAGAAGAAAUAGUGCAGAAGAGAAGGAAUAAUAAUGGGUCAGCUAGACAGAAGAUGAGAAUCAUCAAACAUGUGUCCCAGUAGCCAGACCUAUCAACAGAGCACAGGACCUUGGGUGCUGGCUACCUGAUGGAAAGGAGGAAGGAAGAAACAUAAGGAGAACAAAUACACAUUCACAUCUCAACAUUGUGACCUGCCAUAUAUGCCUUCCUUGCCGUGUGUAUUCUCUUGCAGAGCUACUAAAAUGGACACAAUCAUUAUUUUUAGCUUAUGUGCAGUAGGGAGCACUAACACAUUCUGCAGAUACUAUUUUCAACCCUUUUUUCCCUGAUGUCUUCAAAGGCUUAGUUUCCCAAGUGCCAUCUAGCUCAAAGUUCAGGCCUAAUGUACUGGCUUUCAUUCAGUUACUCAUGUAGGCCUGUGUAUCUAGAAUCUAAUCUGUAGCAUCCUGGUGAAAUUUAGUUUUUCUGUUUCCAGACUACUACCCAUAUCCCUUGAUUGGCUUAAGGAUGCAUCCCAUUUUGAACUUGAUCUGAUUUUGUAUUACAAGUGCUGGGCAUGUGUAUAUUUUCCUUGCCUUUUAUUAUUCUUAAUUGCACAAGGAAGGUGAUUCAGUGGUGUUUUAAUAUGCAUGUGUUGAUUGCUCCUGAAUAAGCCUGUGACUAAACUUUAACCCUGAA
Balaenoptera acutorostrata (minke whale) is the source of this 958-nucleotide long non-coding RNA. RefSeq lists it as uncharacterized. The transcript has 4 exons. The record is from RefSeq and is a predicted model, not a curated record. Lineage: Eukaryota; Metazoa; Chordata; Mammalia; Artiodactyla; Balaenopteridae.